Molecule: long non-coding RNA, 230 nt
Organism: Melanotaenia boesemani (Boeseman's rainbowfish)
Lineage: Eukaryota; Metazoa; Chordata; Actinopteri; Atheriniformes; Melanotaeniidae
Exons: 3
Source: RefSeq, a predicted model, not a curated record
UCAUUAAGGAGGUGAAGUUCCUGCAGAAACUUCAGCAUCCCAACACCAUCGAGUAUCAAGGCUGUUACUUGAAAGAGCACACGGCAUGGCUGGUGAUGGAGUACUGCCUCGGCUCGGCCUCAGACCUCUCGAAGUCCACAAAAAGCCCCUCCAGGAGGUUGAAAUAGCUGCUAUUACCAUGGUGCUCUGCAGGGAUUAGCAUUCUUCACUCUCACAAUAUGAUUCACAGG